This 76-nucleotide ribosomal RNA is filed under the name Acinetobacter baumannii. RNAcentral describes it as "partial 16S ribosomal RNA". It matches the Rfam family "Bacterial small subunit ribosomal RNA", at positions 1 to 74 of the family's 1533-position model. The record is from RNAcentral. Lineage: Bacteria; Pseudomonadati; Pseudomonadota; Gammaproteobacteria; Moraxellales; Moraxellaceae.
UUUAACUGAAGAGUUUGAUCAUGGCUCAGAUUGAACGCUGGCGGCAGGCUUAACACAUGCAAGUCGAGCGGGGGAA